AACCUUUACACUGCACGACAGUGCGAUAGGGGGACACCGAGUGCGAGGGCAUAGAGCCCUCGCUUUUGUAGACCGUAAGGAGGUCUACGAAUAAGGGCUGGGCAAGACCGGUGCCAGCCGCCGCGGUAACACCGGCAGCCCAAGUGAUGGCCGAUAUUAUUGGGCCUAAAGCGUCCGUAGCUGGCCACACAAGUCCGUCGGGAAAUCCACUCGCUUAACGAGUGGGCGUCCGGCGGAAACUGUGCGGCUUGGGACCGGAAGAUCCGAGGGGUACGUCUGGGGUAGGAGUGAAAUCCCGUAAUCCUGGACGGACCACCGAUGGCGAAAGCACCUCGGAAGGACGGAUCCGACAGUGAGGGACGAAAGCUAGGGUCUCGAACCGGAUUAGAUACCCGGGUAGUCCUAGCCGUAAACGAUGCUCGCUAGGUGUGGCGCAGGCUACGAGCCUGCGCUGUGCCGUAGGGAAGCCGUGAAGCGAGCCGCCUGGAAGUACGUCUGCAAGGAUGAAACUUAA
RNAcentral lists this ribosomal RNA (514 nucleotides) under uncultured archaeon. RNAcentral's name for it is "bacterial SSU rRNA". It matches the Rfam family "Archaeal small subunit ribosomal RNA", at positions 345 to 859 of the family's 1478-position model. The record is from RNAcentral.